UGGGGAUCGGAGCACGGGCUCAGACUGUUCUUAAUCUGAGUGAGCCGGAGAGAUCGAGGUGAAUUUAUCCAAUUACACAUGACAGACAGCAGACAAGAAAGACUGUGACUGUGACGAGGGGACAUCCUCUGCGUCUGGAGGAAAGAAGGGAUGACAAUUGUUUCUGCUGCCGGUUGGUUCAGAGAUCGAGGUGGCUGAAGCCAGUGAUUGAGGAAACGGCCUCUGGAAAAGAGAUUGUGUGUGAACCUCUAGGAGAACGGACCUACUCCCUGAUUCUGGGACUGCAGCUUUUGAUUAACUUUGGGAACAGCACAUAAAACGCUCUGUUUAGAAGA
Long non-coding RNA from Bufo gargarizans (Asiatic toad), 335 nucleotides. RefSeq lists it as uncharacterized. The record is from RefSeq and is a predicted model, not a curated record. NCBI's taxonomy places the organism in Eukaryota, Metazoa, Chordata, Amphibia, Anura, Bufonidae. The transcript is spliced from 3 exons.